This 1364-nucleotide unclassified non-coding RNA is filed under the name Hevea brasiliensis (rubber tree). The record is from RNAcentral. Lineage: Eukaryota; Viridiplantae; Streptophyta; Magnoliopsida; Malpighiales; Euphorbiaceae.
UUUCUUUGCAAACUCUCAACAAUAGGCGCAAACACAAAUAAAUUAUUACCUUGCAUUUUUUCCCCCUGGCUUUGCAGCAUGAUAUUGCAGCGCCAGGAGUUAAGGCUGCAGCAUCUCAAACAAACGAUGUUAAGGCUCCCAUAACAACAGAUUCAGGUGCCAUAGCCACCGCAUAUGAUUAUGGAGCAGGAGAAAUAAGCACAACUGGACCACUAUAAAUGACUUGUUAUUAUGGAUCUGAUACAUUCACAAUCAAACUCAUCUCAGCAGCAAUUCCAGAUGGUUUUACCUGCCCUUAGGUUCAAGCUCUGAUCUUAUCUCUGAUAUCAACUAUCCAUCCAUUGAAGUUUUCAACUUCACUGUAAACCAGUUUUCAACAAAGUUGGCGGCAAUGAUGAUACAACAUACGCUCCAAUGCUUUUUGUGCCUCCGAGACUAACAAUUGCAGCCAGUCCGGUGGAGCUAAACUUGCAAAGAAUGGACAGAGACAGUUAUCAAGUUUUUUCCUAUGCUUCUUCACCUCUGGAGGAUGUGUUUGGAGCAGCUACUUGGAGUAACGGAAAAUUUUAAGUCGAGACCCUAAUCGUUGCCAGCAAUUGAAGCAGUAAGAAGUGAAAACAAUGUGUGGUACAUAAAAGUAAUUUACCACUAAUAAUGGCAGCUGUAGCACAUUAGCUCCACAAAUUAGCCUAAAAUGUAAAAGUCAAUUAAUGCUGCAUUUUCAGUAUACCAGCUUAAUUCUUUCACAAGGCACAACCUUUGACAUCACGUACACUGGACCUCCCUUAAAUCACAUGAAACUUCAGCUUAAAUAGUUUUCUUCCUAUUCUAAUCCAAAUUCCCUUCCCCACUUUUUCUCUAUCCUGGACCACGGGGAGCACCAUUUCAUGGGACGUUCAUUGUCCAGGCUAUUUGGUUCACAACAGCCCUUUAACUCUCUCAUUCACAUUUGAAGAGUAGCUGUACCGCACCAUUUCAUAACAGGAAUAUUGGAUCACAGAAAACAUUUGACAAAUUAAAACACACACUUCUCAUAAACGAACAGCAGAUACCAUAUUAACAUAAUGAAAAGGUUACAGCCAGACAUCAGAGUAAGUGAUAGUUUUGGGUAGGGAACAAGCCAAGUAAACUAAUAAUAGUUUGCAAAGCAGUAAUCCUGAACACCCAUCUCCAACAUAAAAAGGGAACUAGAAAUACAGAUACUCUUUUCCUGGCCUUUCAUUCAAAGGCCCAUUGGUUCUCCCUGCGAACUUCCUCCUCUUCCUCUGGUGUAAAGUCAUUCUUGAUGUUGAAAGUCUUGCGAAUUUCUUCUGGAGUUUUGCCCUUGAUCAUGUCUGCUGCUGUCUGACAAGUGUGAUCCAGCA